RNAcentral lists this long non-coding RNA (1428 nucleotides) under Coturnix japonica (Japanese quail). RNAcentral's name for it is "lncRNA (ENSCJPG00005003147.1)". The record is from RNAcentral. Lineage: Eukaryota; Metazoa; Chordata; Aves; Galliformes; Phasianidae.
CCCAGGUGUAUUUGCCCCAUUUCAACAUCCAUCUCUCAUGCUUAAAUAUUUGCUUUAACAAAUGCAAAGUUUCCCUAGAUUUGGCAGUGCACAGGGUUCUUUUUAUACACAUAAUUUCUCUACCUCUCAUGCAUUGUAGCAGCUUUCCCAUCUUUGGAACCGUUCCAGAGAGCACCUGUAUGCACUUGCUGAUUUGUGAAAUGCCAGGAUGGGUUAUGCCAGGAGGUCUGUGGCUCUAUCUGAACCUGCACAGAGGCCCUCCUCUCGCCCCCACCCACCUCAUGCUCAAACAUUCAUUUAGACAACAGUAUCCUCUUUACCAUCAAAAGCCUGUUGUUGUUUCCUGUGAAACAGCUCAGGUGCCAAACACAACCCCAGUGCAGCCUGCGGAAAUGGUGUCUCUCACUGGGGAUGCUGAGCAUACAUAAAAGCGGGCUGUGUUUUUCCGAGGCACCUGCCAGAACCUCACUGACAUUUUCAGCACGGGAAAAUAUUUGGCAUUGGACAGCUGUUCAGAAGCUUUUCCCCUUGUAGGUAGUAGAGAAUGUUCCCUUCUUUAAAUAUAUUUAUAUAAUUCUUUUGGGCCUACACAUACCUGAAAGGUUUCAUUUUUUCAUAGCUGUGAAGGCCAGGGGGUUUACUUUUUCAGUUCCUAUUUGUUCUCUUAUUCCUCACAGUGAAUGUUUCCAGUUCUUUUUAGCCUGCCUUUCCAACAACCUGUGCUGCAGGAUGCUGUUUGUCUUUGCUCUGUCUUCCGAAAAGUCAUCUCAGAAGCGUAACAUCUCUAUUUAUCAGACUUACAUUCUUCUAAGUGCAUCUCAUACCAUGCCUUUUCUUUCUCUUCCAUCUUAACCAGUCAUAAAAUGCAAGGAGAUAAGAUCAUUCCUGCCAAUGCCCAGGCAUUUCAAUUUUCCAUCUUUUCUGUCCAUCAGCAGUCCAAGGUCAUGAUGUUCAAUUGGCUCACCUUCUUGUAUUUAGUGUAAAAUUAACAAAUUCCCCACUUGGCUUCGAAAUUUUAGUGAGGGGUCAGUUGAUGGUUUAACUACAGCUUAUACAAAGAAUUCCUAAAAGGUAGUUGGCCCUGUGUUUUUCACCUUUGAGUCCCGUACAGUUUACUGACAUUGGUAAAAAGACAGUCCAGAGCAGUUGAAAAUGCCAGGAAGUAUCUUGGCUUAUGGUCAUGCCAUUCUACCCAGGUCUGUGGGCUUUUAUCUGUAUUUUAAAUUUUCUGUGAAGUCUACUGAAUAGAUAACAUAAAUUUCAUCCACAAGCCCUUAUAGAUGAUGGCCACAUAUCCUGUGCACCUUGCUAUUAACUGUAUUCUUCACAUGGCAACGUAUGGUUGCUCUGUUAUGGUUUUCCAUAUAUUAAGGAUUUCCAACAGUCUCUCUUAAGUGCAUUGGAGUUGUUAAUCUGUCAUCUCACACC